Molecule: long non-coding RNA, 875 nt
Organism: Leopardus geoffroyi (Geoffroy's cat)
Lineage: Eukaryota; Metazoa; Chordata; Mammalia; Carnivora; Felidae
Exons: 2
Source: RefSeq, a predicted model, not a curated record
UAGUAGAGCACGGAGGUGGCGCUCAGCUUCGUGGGGGCGCAGCACGCCUUGGGGACCGCGUCCGGCUUCAUCAGGUGCACCUGGCCAGGGGAGGGAUGGCAGUCAGUCCCCCUGGACCUCAUGCUUCGCUGAGAAACGUCAGAGCCACUCUCCCGGGGGCUCGCAGAACCACGGUUCCCAUGUCCAUCUGAGCGCUCCGAGGCCCGAGUUCUCCCUUCCACCCCAUACGUUCUGGGGGUGUGGAUGGAUUUAUGACCCAGCAGAUUGGAGCAGCCACCAGCACGUAGCCAGGGCUUGCUCUGCCCAGCACUGCCAAGAGCAGGGCACUAACUGUGCCCUGACAUCCACAAACGAGACCCCGGGUUCAGUGGGGCAGAGACAUCUGGCCAAAGUCCUGGAGCCGCGGUUCAGUCAGAUCCCAAGUUCUUACCCACUGAAGGUCUUACUCCCAGGUUUGUGGGUUAAAAAAGAGAGAAAAGGCUGUGGGCUGGACAUGAUGGGGACCUCCGGCUAGGAAGAGGGACACCUCUGAAAAUGGGAUUUGACCCCACAGCUGCUUAGAGAUGAGGAUGCCCUGAGAAACACACUCACGAUCCCUGGAAAUGUCGACUCCACCAAUGAAACCAACUUCCUGUACCUCUUUGUAUUUCCAAAUGACCUCUUGAUUUCUUAACUGUCAAAGUAACACAAGGGCAACUGUAAGGUAACCUCUGGGGAAGAAAUACCACUCAGAAACCUCUGCCCACCCCAACACAUCGUUUUCAUCUUUCUGGAAUAUUUUCAUGUCACCUGAACUUUUACACAAUGGUCAUCUUAACAAAGAAGUCUGUAUGUUUUCCAACUUUUUCACAUAAACAUGUUCACUGCUGUUAAAA